RNAcentral lists this ribosomal RNA (253 nucleotides) under uncultured bacterium. Its description in RNAcentral is "partial 16S ribosomal RNA". It matches the Rfam family "Bacterial small subunit ribosomal RNA", at positions 524 to 776 of the family's 1533-position model. The record is from RNAcentral.
UACGUAGGUGGCGAGCGUUGUCCGGAUUUACUGGGCGUAAAGGGAGCGUAGGCGGACUUUUAAGUGAGAUGUGAAAUACUCGGGCUCAACUUGAGUGCUGCAUUUCAAACUGGAAGUCUAGAGUGCAGGAGAGGAGAAUGGAAUUCCUAGUGUAGCGGUGAAAUGCGUAGAGAUUAGGAAGAACACCAGUGGCGAAGGCGAUUCUCUGGACUGUAACUGACACUGAGGCACGAAAGCGUGGGGAGCAAACAGG